Molecule: ribosomal RNA, 501 nt
Filed under: uncultured bacterium
Lineage: Bacteria
Description: partial 16S ribosomal RNA
Rfam family: Bacterial small subunit ribosomal RNA
Source: RNAcentral
AUUGAACGCUGGCGGCAGGCUUAACACAUGCAAGUCGAGCGGGGGGAGGUAGCUUGCUACCGGACCUAGCGGCGGACGGGUGAGUAAUGCUUAGGAAUCUGCCUAUUAGUGGGGGACAACAUCUCGAAAGGGAUGCUAAUACCGCAUACGUCCUACGGGAGAAAGCGGGGGAUCUCCGGACCUUGCGCUAAUAGAUGAGCCUAAGUCGGAUUAGCUAGUUGGUGGGGUAAAGGCCUACCAAGGCGACGAUCUGUAGCGGGUCUGAGAGGAUGAUCCGCCACACUGGGACUGAGACACGGCCCGGACUCCUACGGGAGGCAGCAGUGGGGAAUAUUGGACAAUGGGGGGAACCCUGAUCCAGCCAUGCCGCGUGUGUGAAGAAGGCCUUAUGGUUGUAAAGCACUUUAAGCGAGGAGGAGGCUACUCUAGUUAAUACCUAGGGAUAGUGGACGUUACUCGCAGAAUAAGCACCGGCUAACUCUGUGCCAGCAGCCGCCGUAA